AGAGAAAGACGACUAAGGUAGAUUAUUUAAGAAAGCUUGAAACUCGUUUUGUUCGGCUGUCAUUUUUUUUAUUAUACUAUAACAAACCUAAGUAGGAAGUAGAGUCUCGUAGCUCAGCUGGUUAGAGCGCUACACUGAUAAUGUAGAGGUCGGCAGUUCGAGUCUGCCCGAGACUACUAAGAGUCGAGAGCAGAGGAGAAGUUUAUGCCGUAUUUUUUAUGGUAAGUCUGCCCGAGACUAUUUUUUUAUUUAGGGUUUUUUUAUAGAAAAGGAAAUUCUAGAGGUUGGGAUUCCACUUAUAGUCUCUCAUCCAGUUAGGGUGGAAUUAUAAUGGGGGAUUAGCUCAGCUGGCUAGAGCGCCUGCCUUGCACGCAGGAGGUCAUCGGUUCGACUCCGAUAUUCUCCACGGUUCUAUAGAAUAGGAUUAUUAAUUGUAACAUUUGUUAUCCAACAUUUAGUGUUGCGAUUAGUGGCUUUAUUUGUUUUAACUAGAAAGACGUUCAUUGACAUAUUGAAAAUAGAUACAAAAAUAAAAACGUAUCAAUCAUUUUUUAUAAUACAUAAAAACAUGGUUGUACGAGCAAAUAGAGUAAUAAAAACUAAAAGAGAAAAGUUAC
This 617-nucleotide transfer RNA is filed under the name uncultured Flavobacteriaceae bacterium. Its description in RNAcentral is "16S-23S ribosomal RNA intergenic spacer". The stretch from base 103 to 176 matches the Rfam family "tRNA". The record is from RNAcentral. Lineage: Bacteria; Pseudomonadati; Bacteroidota; Flavobacteriia; Flavobacteriales; Flavobacteriaceae.